UAUAAUUUUGUAAAAAUGAAGCCUACAGCAGCGGGGAUGCAGACCUCUACAGGCAGGCAAAGUACAAGCUGAGGAGAGGAAUCAGAGUUGCCAAGGAAAGGUACUCUGAGAAGUGGACGAGCAAGUUCUCAGCUAGUGAAUCUUCUUCAGUUUGGAAGGGCUUGCAACAAAUCACCAGCU
Amblyraja radiata (thorny skate) is the source of this 180-nucleotide long non-coding RNA. RefSeq lists it as uncharacterized. The transcript is spliced from 3 exons. The record is from RefSeq and is a predicted model, not a curated record. NCBI's taxonomy places the organism in Eukaryota, Metazoa, Chordata, Chondrichthyes, Rajiformes, Rajidae.